AUGACCGUCGUCCGCACCUUCUCGGCAUCCAACGCCGUCCUCAUCUCCAUCAAACUCGCCGUCCGCCGAUGCCUCCGCCAUCGACCACGGUCUCGUCCAGCCCGCCGUAUGACUCCGGCCCGGCUUUCGUUGUCGAAUGGUACGUACCAAGUCAUUAAAGCACCAACUUACAAUGAGGAAAAGAGACAAGUAAAACCUUAUCUAGGGAUAUCAAAGAAAGGGGUGUACUUUGGAGUAAUUGAAGAGGCAUCUCGACUGCUGGUUUGGAUCCUCACUGAAAAUUCAAGUGGACAGAUGGAGUGGAUUUUAAGGCAUGAGAAUGGUCUUUCACACUGUGGCCAACACAUAAGAAAAUGUUGUAGCAAUAUGGACUCACCUUGGAAUACAUGA
This 390-nucleotide ribosomal RNA is filed under the name Triticum aestivum (bread wheat). Its description in RNAcentral is "partial small subunit ribosomal RNA". The record is from RNAcentral. Lineage: Eukaryota; Viridiplantae; Streptophyta; Magnoliopsida; Poales; Poaceae.